UAUAUUUUGCUUAUGUCCAUUUUUACAAAUAAUAAGAAUAUCAUACCGAGGAAGCAUAGCAACAGUAUUACUUAAACGAUGUGAUUAUGUCGCACACACUCAUACCGUUUGUAUAAAUGCUCAUAUAAACGUCGAUAGUGAGUGUGCAACACUGUACAUAGAGAGUUUAACACAGGGGGAAGUCGAAACACAAUCAUUAUUAAUCUGUUUCACUCCCGGACGUUGCGCGAUCACAUCGUAACGAUUUUCCUUGCAAACCUUGGUAUUUAUUGCAAGUUGGAUAACCUCCUUACUACAGGUUGAUCAUAGCUUCGUUUUGAAUUCCUGAGCGGAACUGGACUUUCAAUAUGGCGGACUGCAGAUGGUUUUGGAGCAUUAUUUGGUUCUUAAUCCUAUUUUUCUUCGGAUUUCCUAUUGGAUUUUUAUGUGCAAUUCUAUAUGUGCUUAUCAGCCCAUUUGCAGCGUGUUGCAACGGUUGUGUGGAAUUGACAAACUUACUUAGAAGAGGACUCGAAUUGCCGUACACGUGUUCACAAAAUAUGGUGUCCGGAAAAUCUUUGUGUUAGGAGAAAUAUUAUUUAUGUGGUUUGAUGUACAUGUAUCUACCCUUUUAAUAUGACUGUGGAGAAUAUUAAAAGAACUUAAAUUAUGUACAGAUGUAAUAGAAACGAAAUUGAUGCUCGUAAUAAGCCAUUGUACCUCAAGGCAUGUACUUCACCAUUCGUUAACUUUACCAAAGCAUGUACUUGACCAUUCCGGUACUUUUACCACCAUUCAAGGUGCUGAUGCAAUUUGUUGAAUAUGUUAAACAUGCCUCAUACAAAAAAAUGUUUAAAAAUAGUUUUUUUUUUAUCAAAUGAAGGGUAUUUUUUUUAUCAAAUGAAGGGUAUAAGAUAUAUCACGUCAUAUAUGAGGACAAACAAACUUAAAACGACUAUUCAAAGUGUUCUAUUUAUUUGCUUAGCAACUCUGCUGACACAAAAUAUAAAGAAUUGGGCAGUAAAAUAAAAAAAUGUAAGAGAAAGUAAAAUUAAACAUACUGUUGUAUGCAAAUACCCUUGCUUUAAAAAACAUUUGCUGAUGAUGUCACUUUUUAUUCCAACAUAUAUUGCUUAUAUUCAUAUACUUUUAUUUCACGAUGUUUAAUCAUUUAUAGUGUAUAACAAUGCUUAUACUAUUGUAUACAUUUUUAUGUCAUGUAAUAUAUUAAUAAAAUCUUAAACAAUGAAGAA
Molecule: long non-coding RNA, 1232 nt
Organism: Mya arenaria
Lineage: Eukaryota; Metazoa; Mollusca; Bivalvia; Myida; Myidae
Exons: 2
Source: RefSeq, a predicted model, not a curated record